This 510-nucleotide ribosomal RNA is filed under the name uncultured bacterium. Its description in RNAcentral is "bacterial SSU rRNA". It matches the Rfam family "Bacterial small subunit ribosomal RNA", at positions 15 to 518 of the family's 1533-position model. The record is from RNAcentral.
GAUCAUGGCUCAGGAUGAACGCUAGCUACAGGCUUAACACAUGCAAGUCGAGGGGUAACAAGAGAAAAGCUUGCUUUCUGUUGACGACCGGCGCACGGGUGAGUAACGCGUAUCCAACCUGCCUAUAACUAGGGAAUAACCUUGCGAAAGUAAGACUAAUACCCUAUGAUUCCUUUGAUGACAUCAGAUUAGGAAUAAAGAUUUAUCGGUUAUAGAUGGGGAUGCGUCUGAUUAGCUUGUUGGCGGGUAACGGCCCACCAAGGCAACGAUCAGUAGGGGUUCUGAGAGGAAGGUCCCCCACAUUGGAACUGAGACACGGUCCAAACUCCUACGGGAGGCAGCAGUGAGGAAUAUUGGUCAAUGGGCGGAAGCCUGAACCAGCCAAGUAGCGUGCAGGAUGACGGCCCUAUGGGUUGUAAACUGCUUUUAUACAGGAAUAAAGCUAGCCACGUGUGGUUAUUUGUAGGUACUGUAUGAAUAAGGACCGGCUAAUUCCGUGCCAGCAGCCGC